Molecule: ribosomal RNA, 227 nt
Filed under: uncultured bacterium
Lineage: Bacteria
Description: partial 16S ribosomal RNA
Rfam family: Bacterial small subunit ribosomal RNA
Source: RNAcentral
UACGUAGGGUGCAAGCGUUAAUCGGAAUUACUGGGCGUAAAGCGUGCGCAGGCGGUUAUGUAAGACAGUUGUGAAAAUCCCCGGGCUUAACCUGGGAAUGGCAUUUGGGACUGCAAGGCUUUGAGUGCGGCAGAGGAGACUGGAAUUCCUGGUGUAGCAGUGAAAUGCGUAGAUAUCAGGAGGAACACCGAUGGCGAAGGCAGGUCUCUGGGGCUGACACUGACUCA